GGCGGGAUGAGUAAUGCCUAUGGAAUCUGCCUGGUAGUGGGGGACUACGUUUCGAAAGGAACGCUAAUACCGCAUACGUCCUACGGGAGAAAGUGGGGGAUCUUCGGACCUCACGCUAUCAGAUGAGCCUAGGUCGGAUUAGCUAGUUGGUGAGGUAAAGGCUCACCAAGGCGACGAUCCGUAACUGGUCUGAGAGGAUGAUCAGUCACACUGGAACUGAGACACGGUCCAGACUCCUACGGGAGGCAGCAGUGGGGAAUAUUGGACAAUGGGCGAAAGCCUGAUCCAGCCAUGCCGCGUGUGUGAAGAAGGUCUUCGGAUUGUAAAGCACUUUAAGUUGGGAGGAAGGGCAGUAAGUUAAUACCUUGCUGUUUUGACGUUACCAACAGAAUAAGCACCGGCUAACUUCGUGCCAGCAGCCGCGGUAAUACGAAGGGUGCAAGCGUUAAUCGGAAUUACUGGGCGUAAAGCGCGCGUAGGUGGUUCGUUAAGUUGGAUGUGAAAGCCCCGGGCUCAACCUGGGAACUGCAUCCAAAACUGCGAGCUAGAGUAUGGCAGAGGGUGGUGGAAUUUCCUGUGUAGCGGUGAAAU
Molecule: ribosomal RNA, 591 nt
Filed under: Stutzerimonas stutzeri
Lineage: Bacteria; Pseudomonadati; Pseudomonadota; Gammaproteobacteria; Pseudomonadales; Pseudomonadaceae
Description: bacterial SSU rRNA
Rfam family: Bacterial small subunit ribosomal RNA
Source: RNAcentral